Non-coding RNA from Phasianus colchicus (ring-necked pheasant), 2200 nucleotides. Lineage: Eukaryota; Metazoa; Chordata; Aves; Galliformes; Phasianidae. The record is from RefSeq and is a predicted model, not a curated record.
UUUUCCAACCUUAAUGAUUCUAUGGCUUUGUGUUUCUGGAUCCUUUCUUUUUUUGUUAGUAUUUGUGUACGGAAAUGCACGGAACUGUGCAUCCAUCCAUAGUGAAAGGGGUUCUUCCCUUCCCCCACCAUCUGCCCUAGAUUAAGUCCACAAACGUCUCUGUAAAUACAGCCAGCCUCAGACUCACUUCCUGAGGGAGCCAUUUCCUGACUCGUAGGGCAAUCGAGCAAGUGCUCAUUCAUACCAUGAAUCAUAAAGGUAACCUCCGUUCAAAGCGCUGUGCCAUGCUUUGGCUUCCUACAAAAAACGGGUUUUGUUGUUGAACACAGCCUGCUGACAUCAGCUGUGCGCCUACCCUUGGAACUGUUCCUGUAGGGUUUUUUGAUCUAUCUUAAAAGAAUAGUUUCCAACUGCCUGGACAAAAGGUGGCUGCUGAAGGCAGGGAGGCUGUCCAGGAGCAGUAUGUUUGCUGUCAUGCAUCAUGCAUGACGCAUUUUUAGAGUGGCAUUAGCCCCUGCGGGACCUGUCCUUGUGUUCUGAGGUGUGCUAAAGGAGGGCUAAUGCAGGAGCAUCCUCUGCUAGCCCCUGCCUCCCCCUGAGCCCUGCAGACCUGUGGGAGGAACCAAGCCCUCAUGUCUGUUGGUCUCUGGCUGAGCACAGGAGUGCAGCCCUGGUGCCUGCAGCAGGUUGCAGCCCCUGGCCGCGGAGCGGGCUGUGCUUAGAGCACAGAGUUGUCUCAGCAGGCUGUGGGCCAGCAGGCCUGCAACAGCACCUUGGUUUUCCUUGUGAGCCCAGGGCCCAGCUCAGCAGCCUGCCCUGAGGAUGCCCAACUCUUCCCCUGGGACUCUCUUGCAGGACAGCCAGUGACAUAUCCAGGCUGGGCUCUUGGUUUUUGGUGACAACCUCAUUCUGGCCCAUGGUCCCUUUCUGGCUGCCUUCCCAGUGCUGCUCUGGCCUCUGGCCCUGGGAGAGCUGUCACGCCUCGGCCUCCCCUCGGCUUUCUAGGUUCCUCUACAACAGGUCCUUCAGGCUCCUCGUGUGCAGUUACUGCUAUGGCUUUUAUCACUGAUUGCAUGACUACAUUUCCUUAAAAUGCAGGCAAUUAUUACCGUGAGAGCCAGAGAACAGUAAGUUCACUCUUUUAUGUUCAUUUAUUUGGAACACGGAGCUUUUCAGCUGGGUUAAUUUGUCACUGUGGCGGCCCUGUGACCUCACUGACCUGUCAUGGGGCUGGGCUCUGUGCCAGCUCUGUACCUCCGGCUGCAUGGCUGGGCUCUCCAGAGCCCCUGCUGCAUUGCCCUGUGCCAAGGCAGCUGCCUGAGGCUGUGCCGUGUGUGUGUGUGUGUGUGUGUGUGUGUGUGUGUGUGUGUGUGUGUGUGUCCGUCCGUCCCUACUGUCAUUUAAGGUCUUUCCUCACCAGUAAGGGUGGGUUCCUGGUUCCAUCUCUUCUCCUCCCUUAGUCACAAUGUCACAGGAUGGCUGAGGUUGGCGGGGACCUCUGAGGGACCUGCUCCAACCCCUGCCCAAGCAGGGGCACCCAGACCAGGAGCUGGGGUCACAUUCAGACAGCUUUUGGAGAUCUCCAAGGAGGAGACUUCAGCUCUCUAGCAGGGACCUGCCUGGUGCUGCUCAGACCUGAAUAACUCCUGCUUGCAAAUCCACCGAUAUGUGACUGAAGAGAUCGAUGGAAGGAAGUUGGUCUGGGGAAAAAAGUGGAAUUCAGCUGUCUAAACUGAUUGCACCAAGAUGGAGUCUAUAAACCAGAACUGAGAAGUUUUUCUGUUUCUUCGUGUCCAUUUGUUGUUGUUGCUGUGCCAGUCAUUUGGAACAAGGCUAAUGCAAAGGUUCAUGGAGAUCACAAAGACCCAGGGUGGAGUCCAUCAUAAGCAAAGCUAGAGGACGGCAGUUCAAAGGUGCCUUUGUAGUGGCAGUGGGAUGCCAAGUGACAGCAACCAGCCUUGAAAAUCCUCCCCCUGCACUUUAACCCAUGUGUUUUGAAAACACCUCAGCACCUUGGGAGCACUGCUGCUGGUAGGCAGCCAGCCACCUGCUUCUGCCCACAGUGGGUUGGGGACAUCCUGUCCCCCUGCUUGGCACUGGUGAGGUCUCACCUGCAAUACUUUGUCCAGGUGUGGGAUUGCCAGUACAGGAGAGAUAUAGACCUGUUGGAGUGUGUCCAGAGGAGAAAUGAUCCAAGGGA